UUCCGCGUGUACAAGUUCGUGCCGCCGGCGUGGGAGCUGGAGCUGAAGCUGGACGGGCUCAGCUGCCGCAGCCCCAUCGUCGCCAUGGCGCUCAAGAAGCUCGAGAUCGACUAUGACAAGACCGCUUGUGUGGUGGCUGCCGGAAAUUAUUCGAUGGAACGGUUCAACUUCAACGAUUUCUUCCCCAUCUACCAGCACCUCAUGCAGAAGGGGGAACAUUACAGGAUCCAGUUUGAGAUGUCUUCCCCUAAGGGGGUGAUGGGGUGUGUGGCGAUGACGCUCGUGAUCCGGCGUUGAAUCCCGGCCGGGGCAGAUGUCACUCAUUAUAGGAAGUGUUUGUAUCGAU
Non-coding RNA from Plutella xylostella (diamondback moth), 346 nucleotides. NCBI's taxonomy places the organism in Eukaryota, Metazoa, Arthropoda, Insecta, Lepidoptera, Plutellidae. The record is from RefSeq and is a predicted model, not a curated record.